RNAcentral lists this ribosomal RNA (342 nucleotides) under uncultured bacterium. Its description in RNAcentral is "bacterial SSU rRNA". It matches the Rfam family "Bacterial small subunit ribosomal RNA", at positions 452 to 793 of the family's 1533-position model. The record is from RNAcentral.
UUAAUAGCUAUAUUCAUUUGACGUUUAGCUGCAGAAGAAGCACCGGCUAACUCCGUGCCAGCAGCCGCGGUAAUACGGAGGGUGCGAGCGUUAAUCGGAAUUACUGGGCGUAAAGCGCAUGCAGGUGGUUUGUUAAGUCAGAUGUGAAAGCCCGGGGCUCAACCUCGGAAUUGCAUUUGAAACUGGCAAACUAGAGUACUGUAGAGGGGGUAGAAUUUCAGGUGUAGCGGUGAAAUGCGUAGAGAUCUGAAGGAAUACCGGUGGCGAAGGCGGCCCCCUGGACAGAUACUGACACUCAGAUGCGAAAGCGUGGGGAGCAAACAGGAUUAGAUACCCUGGUAG